This 443-nucleotide long non-coding RNA is filed under the name Dromaius novaehollandiae (emu). RNAcentral's name for it is "lncRNA (ENSDNVG00000015851.1)". The record is from RNAcentral. Lineage: Eukaryota; Metazoa; Chordata; Aves; Casuariiformes; Dromaiidae.
GGGCGGCAGCGCCGAGGGGCAGGACGCGUGGGGGGCGCUGCCCGCCCGUCUGCGGGGCCUGCGGCUGGCGGAGCAGCAGCAGCAGCAGCAGCAGCAGCAGCAGCAGCAGCAGCAGCAACAACCGCCGCCGAUACAGAGCGAGCAGCGGCCCGUGGAAACCGCCCUGCAGCGCCCCCAGCCUCCUGCACCGCCCGUCGCCUGCGCGAGGGGUUUGGGCGAGAACUUGUCCGAGUGUCUCUGCCCAACUAUCUCUCUGGGUAAAACCCUCUGUGCAUCACCUGCUUCUGGGAGACAUUGCAUCUACUCUGCCUGUAAAGGUGGGGUUUUUUUUAGGCUUGAGCUUUAAGGAUUAAUGUAUCUUAAGGUUUACCUGGCAAAUGGACAUAGACUGCUGAUACUGCAAUAUCAAACAUUAUUGUGUAUCUCCAGUUUGUAGAUUGCAG